RNAcentral lists this ribosomal RNA (957 nucleotides) under uncultured bacterium. RNAcentral's name for it is "bacterial SSU rRNA". It matches the Rfam family "Bacterial small subunit ribosomal RNA", at positions 67 to 1035 of the family's 1533-position model. The record is from RNAcentral.
CGAGAAGUCACGACUUCGGUGGUGACGGAGAGUGGCGCACGGGUGCGUAACACGUAGCUGACCUGCCCUUUGCAGGGGGAUAACACAGCGAAAGUUGUGCUAAUACCGCGUAGGCUGGUUCUAGUUAGAGAAGGAUCAGUAAAGGAUUUAUCGGCAAAGGAGGGGGCUGCGGUCCAUCAGCUCGUUGGUGAGGUAACGGCUCACCAAGGCGAAGACGGAUAGGGGGCCUGAGAGGGUGACCCCCCACACUGGAACUGAGACACGGUCCAGACUCCUUCGGGAGGCAGCAGUAAGGAAUAUUGCACAAUGGGCGCAAGCCUGAUGCAGCAACGCCGCGUGAGGGAAGAAGGGUUUCGGCUCGUAAACCUCUUUUCUGUGGGAAGAGCAAGGACGGUACCACAGGAAUAAGUCUCGGCUAACUACGUGCCAGCAGCCGCGGUAAAACGUAGGAGGCGAGCGUUAUCCGGAAUUACUGGGCGUAAAGCGCACGUAGGCGGCGACUCAAGUGGUGCGUGAGAGCUCCCGGCUCAACUGGGAGAGGACGUACCAAACUGAGUAGCUAGAGAGAGAUAGAGGUCGACAGAAUUCCGGGUGGAGUGGUGAAAUGCGUAGAGAUCCGGGGGAAUACCAGAGGCGAAGGCGGUCGGCUGGGUCUUAUCUGACGCUGAGGUGCGAAAGUGUGGGGAGCGAACGGGAUUAGAAACCCCGGUAGUCCACACCGUAAACGAUGCAUACUAGUUGUUAGGUGCCUACGGGCGCUGAGUGACGAAGCCAACGCGUUAAGUAUGCCGCCUGGGGAGUACGGUCGCAAGGCUAAAACUCAAAGGAUUUGACGGGGGCCCGCACAAGCAGCGGAGCGUGUGGUUUAAUUCGAGGCUACGCGAAGAACCUUACCUGGGCUUGACAUAUAGGUAGUAUCUGGCGGGAAACCGCUGGAGACCUUCGGGGAGCUUAUAC